AUUGAACGCUGGCGGCAUGCUUUACACAUGCAAGUCGAACGGCAGCACGGGUGCUUGCACCUGGUGGCGAGUGGCGAACGGGUGAGUAAUGUAUCGGAACGUACCCGGCAAUGGGGGAUAACGUAGCGAAAGUUACGCUAAUACCGCAUAUGCCCUGAGGGGGAAAGUGGGGGAUCGCAAGACCUCACGUUGUCGGAGCGGCCGAUAUCAGAUUAGCUAGUUGGUGGGGUAAAGGCCUACCAAGGCGACGAUCUGUAGCUGGUCUGAGAGGACGGCCAGCCACACUGGGACUGAGACACGGCCCAGACUCCUACGGGAGGCAGCAGUGGGGAAUUUUGGACAAUGGGGGCAACCCUGAUCCAGCCAUGCCGCGUGAGUGAAGAAGGCCUUCGGGUUGUAAAGCCCUUUCGGACAGAAAGAAAUCGCCACUUCUAAUAAAGGUGGUGGAUGACGGUACUGUAAGAAGAAGCACCGGCUAACUACGUGCCAGCCGCCGCGGUAA
Molecule: ribosomal RNA, 502 nt
Filed under: uncultured bacterium
Lineage: Bacteria
Description: partial 16S ribosomal RNA
Rfam family: Bacterial small subunit ribosomal RNA
Source: RNAcentral